GACCUGGCCUUUCUCUGCAGCUCCUCUUGGGAAGGCAUUUUCUUCUUUCUGCAAACCGUGCUGCUGUUUGUUUGGAGAAGGAGAGCUGUGGCCAAAAACAAUCCAUUGAUACACUUGGUGACAUUAAUUGAGAAAAAAACAAUACGGUCUGGCCAUGGAGGCAUGAUAUCCGUAACAUCCCCCAAAGGAGCUAAAGAAGAAAUCCACAAUUUACCAUGAGCAUUUCUCGUCUAAUGAUUGCCAAGCGAUUCCUCCAGGACAUUCCUCAAGGACUCAUGUUCUUAGGCAAAUGCUUUGGGGAAUGUGGCAGUGAUGCAUGUGCGGGGGAAACACAGAGGCAAGCAUGGAUGAAAAUCACUGUGGAAUAUUGAAGAAGGCUUCCAAGAGGAGGUGACAUUUGAGCUUGAUCGUGAACACGAAGUAAGGACAGAACUAGGAGCUCAACUAGAGGAAGAGGCAAAUGGUAUACUAGUGUAGACUGUGUUAAUGUGUAGACAACUGAAAGAAGUGGCAUAUUUGGGAAGCUUUAGGAUGUCCAUGGUGAAAAGUAUCUACGAACAAGAGGUGAGAGAGAUGGAGGGAAGAGGGGCAGAGGAUGAAAUUUCAUCAACAUUGCAUUGUAUUUCUUCCAUUUGUCCUUUCAGAUCAAUUUCUGUUCAUCCACCUUGUCCUGGGAGGGACAUCAAUGGGUUUCCAUGUCCUUUGGCUUCUGGUUGAGUUCACUCAGUGGAGAACCCUGGCAAGAGGCAGGAAAAGGGGAGGAAGGUAAAAAUGGUGCUACCCUUGGAAAUCCAAGAGCAGCUUCAAGAGUCAACUAUACCAGCAAUCCCUAAAGCUGGAGAAUUUAUGCCCAUGGAAAAGUCUGUAGCGUUUUGCAAACCUUGAGGCUGAGGAAUAGACC
Molecule: long non-coding RNA, 901 nt
Filed under: Pan troglodytes (chimpanzee)
Lineage: Eukaryota; Metazoa; Chordata; Mammalia; Primates; Hominidae
Description: lincRNA
Source: RNAcentral